RNAcentral lists this long non-coding RNA (529 nucleotides) under Nicotiana benthamiana. RNAcentral describes it as "long non-coding RNA (NBEN_LNC024974)". The record is from RNAcentral. Lineage: Eukaryota; Viridiplantae; Streptophyta; Magnoliopsida; Solanales; Solanaceae.
AUGAAUACAAUGAAAUACAUAAAAAUAUAGCGUGAUACGUUGAAAAAAUAUUAAAAUAUAUUAACAGAAAACCAAAUUGCUCAAUCCCAAAUUCCAUUGGCUUAGUUCAAGAACAAACUCUAAUUUUUGGCGAAUCAACCAUGGAGCAAAACCCUGAAUCUCAAUGUGCACGCGCCGCCGUUGAUCAGAGGCAUAGCUUAAUCUGUUCUUUAUCUUCCUUUGGCACAUAAAGGACAUGGCUUUUAGUAAGGUUGAAAUUUUGUUUGUGAGUUUGAGUUUGGAUGUAUGACAUCCAAGAUUCUUAUGAUUACACACAGGAAAUCAAAGACUAUCAUUGCAGGAAUACGAAGACAUGUGAAAGGCUUUCUGGAGAACCAUCGACUUUCAACUUUACAACUAAAGGAUUUAGGGUUUAAUAUUCCAUAUGGAGGAAAAUGAAUCUCUAGAGUCUUCAGCAAUGACCGAAAUUAUAUAUACAUAAUUACAUACCACAAAUGUAGAAUUUUAUGAAAUAAAAUCCUAAUUUCCC